CCCCUAGAUGUUCUGGGCCGCACGCGCGCUACACUGAACAGUUCAACAAGUCUUAACCUUGGCCGAUAGGUCUGGGUAAUCUUUGAACGCUGUUCGUGAUUGGGAUAGACCUUUGCAAUUAUGGGUCUUCAACGAGGAAUUCCUAGUAAACGCAAGUCAUCCGCUUGCAUUGAUUACGUCCCUGCCCUUUGUACACACCGCCCGUCGCACCUACCGAUUGAAUGGUCCGGUGAAAUCUCGGGACGGCGGCUUGGUCGCUUGCGUCCGACUGCUGAAACUUGAUUAAACCAUAUCAUUUAGAGGAAGGUGAAGUCGUAACA
Molecule: ribosomal RNA, 320 nt
Filed under: uncultured eukaryote
Lineage: Eukaryota
Description: partial 18S ribosomal RNA
Rfam family: Eukaryotic small subunit ribosomal RNA
Source: RNAcentral